This 69-nucleotide transfer RNA is filed under the name Marmota marmota marmota (Alpine marmot). It matches the Rfam family "tRNA". From Rfam's summary of the family: Transfer RNA (tRNA) molecules are approximately 80 nucleotides in length. Their secondary structure includes four short double-helical elements and three loops (D, anti-codon, and T loops). The record is from Rfam by way of RNAcentral. Lineage: Eukaryota; Metazoa; Chordata; Mammalia; Rodentia; Sciuridae. RNAcentral also lists the same sequence under 1 other name.
GGAGUUGUAGCUCAGUGGUAGAGUGCUUGUCUAGCAUGCAUGAAACACUGGGUUCGAUUCUCAGCACCA